AGCCUGCCCAGUGACAAAGUUCAACGGCCGCGGUACCCUAACCGUGCGAAGGUAGCAUAAUCACUUGUUCUUUAAAUGAGGACUCGUAUCAACGGCACUACGAGGGCUAUACUGUCUCCUUUUUCUAAUCAGUGAAACUGAUCUCCCCGUGAAGAAGCGGGGAUCAAAAUAUAAGACGAGAAGACCCCAUGGAGCUUUAAACUCACUAUACACCUCUGUGCCUUUAUGUCACUAGACACAAGAGAUCUGCGUACUAGUUUUAGGUUGGGGGGACCACGGAGUAUAAUUUAACCUCCAUAACAAAUGGGCUAACACCCUUAUCUACGAGACACAACUCUAAGAAUUACUAAACUAAUGCUUAUGACCCGAUAUUCGAUCAAUGAACCAAGUUACCCUGGGGAUAACAGCGCAAUCUACUUCAAGAGCCCAUAUCGACAAGUGGGUUUACGACCUCGAUGUUGGAUCAGGGUAUCCCGGUGGUGCAGCCGCUACCGACGGUUCGUUUGUUCAACGAUUAAAACCCUACGUGAUCU
RNAcentral lists this ribosomal RNA (533 nucleotides) under Rana graeca (Greek frog). RNAcentral describes it as "partial large subunit ribosomal RNA". It matches the Rfam family "Bacterial large subunit ribosomal RNA", at positions 1856 to 2606 of the family's 2925-position model. The record is from RNAcentral. Lineage: Eukaryota; Metazoa; Chordata; Amphibia; Anura; Ranidae.